UCGAACGAUGAAGCCCUUCGGGGUGGAUUAGUGGCGAACGGGUGAGUAACACGUGGGCAAUCUGCCCUUCACUCUGGGACAAGCCCUGGAAACGGGGUCUAAUACCGGAUAGCACUCUUGCAGGCAUCUGUGAGGGUUGAAAGCUCCGGCGGUGAAGGAUGAGCCCGCGGCCUAUCAGCUUGUUGGUGAGGUAAUGGCUCACCAAGGCGACGACGGGUAGCCGGCCUGAGAGGGCGACCGGCCACACUGGGACUGAGACACGGCCCAGACUCCUACGGGAGGCAGCAGUGGGGAAUAUUGCACAAUGGGCGAAAGCCUGAUGCAGCGACGCCGCGUGAGGGAUGACGGCCUUCGGGUUGUAAACCUCUUUCAGCAGGGAAGAAGCGAAAGUGACGGUACCUGCAGAAGAAGCGCCGGCUAACUACGUGCCAGCAGCCGCGGUAAUACGUAGGGCGCAAGCGUUGUCCGGAAUUAUUGGGCGUAAAGAGCUCGUAGGCGGCUUGUCACGUCGGGUGUGAAAGACCGGGGCUUAACCCCGGUUCUGCAUUCGAUACGGGCUAGCUAGAGUGUGGUAGGGGAGAUCGGAAUUCCUGGUGUAGCGGUGAAAUGCGCAGAUAUCAGGAGGAACACCGGUGGCGAAGGCGGAUCUCUGGGCCAUUACUGACGCUGAGGAGCGAAAGCGUGGGGAGCGAACAGGAUU
Molecule: ribosomal RNA, 700 nt
Filed under: Streptomyces sp.
Lineage: Bacteria; Bacillati; Actinomycetota; Actinomycetes; Kitasatosporales; Streptomycetaceae
Description: bacterial SSU rRNA
Rfam family: Bacterial small subunit ribosomal RNA
Source: RNAcentral